GAGUCUUGCCUUUCACGUUAAAUUCUGCAGUAAAAGUUUGGAAAAAUCAAGUGAUUCGGGGAUAGUCUUUCAGUCCCAAGUUAUUUUUAUUACUUCAAGUAUGAAUCCUUAGCAUUUUCUCUUCUUUCUUUUUUUUUCCCCUGUUUCCUUUUCUUAUUUUAGGUGGAGCAGAUGACAUGCUGCUUCUCCUUUCUUUCCUUUCUACCAUUUCUUUCACUGCUGUUGCAUUCAAUAAUGAAUUCUCCUAUUUUUCCAUUUUUCUCUCACCUAUCUAACUUCAACCUUCGCUCCCUAGAAUUCUGAAACAUUUAAACAUUUCUGCUUGUAAGAUGAUUUUAUUACUGUUUUAUUUUCCCAAGAAAAUAGUUUUAGGGUAAAGUGGAUGUUUUAACAUAUUAGUAAUCAGAGGUAGAUUGUUUUAACUUGAAGUCACUACUUUAAAUCCAUCCAAAUGAGUGAUUGAAACUUGUUUUCGUUUUAUAGCCUUCAGUAAUUCUACGCUUUAAGUCCAUGACUACUUACACCUAUUGGUCUUUUGCAAUUGCUGUGGUAUAUAGAAUGAAUAACAACGUAAAUAGCCUUUUUUCUAUGAUUACUUGAUGAUCAACUUAUCAAGGAUGAGUGUUGGCUAGCCCAUCAAGGGACAGGCUAUUAUGUGAUUACAGUAAAAAAUUGUCAAAUAUUCCAUGAAUCCAAGAAUGCUCUUGUGUAGGUGGUGGCCUACCUUUUUUUUAUUGUAUCAUAGUGUUUUCUGUUAGCAAGAGUAGGAGUGAGAGUUCCUUGCCCAUCCGUCCGGUAGGAGUCAGAACACACACAUGCUCCAUUUAGGAGCAUAUGGCAAAGAUAGACUAUUGCAGCUGAACAGCAAGAAAGGGCAACUGGUUUGCAUCAUCUGCUUUUCCCUUCACAUUCUCCUUCUAGUUUUGCUUCACAAAGCACAGAUUUUUUUUUUAAUGAAGAUGCGAGUAAAAUGAAGUUAGUUCCAUUACUACAUGAAUCAAUAGCAAUUUUCCUGUCCUGUGGGCAUAACCUACAUGAGAUUGUUUACUGCAUGGCUAGCCCUGCACUGAAGCACCCUCAUGCUCCAGUCAGCCCCUCUGCAGCAUGUUUUACUGAGGGAGCAGCCCCAGGCUGGCAGGCUGACUUUUGGGGGUCCCUGCCAGCCUAGGCUAUUCUGACCCAGCUCAUAGUGCUGUGGUCCUAGGUACACGUUCAGAUGGCAAUGAACUCCGAAGUUUAUUGCUCCCAGGCUCACAUUCAAAUGACAUGCCUGGGAGCAAUAAACUGAAGCAACAAAUGCUGAAGUUUGCCUCACAUUAAUUACAUGUGUGUGUUUCAGUAUCAGGAAAACCUAUUCUUGUGAAAGCUUUCAGAAGUUCAUCAAAUGAGUACUGAAAGUUUUUUGGGUGACCGGAAAAAUGAUCUUGAUCAUAUUUUUGCUAGACGCAUUUAUGCCAACAAUAUACCAUGUCAUAUAGUUGAAAAAGCUUAUGUGCUAGAUUUUUUUUUUUCAAAAACUACAUUCAAUUUACAAAGUUCCAAGAAGAGAAUCACUUGAGAGAAGUCUUCUGAAUGCUGAAGUGGAAGAUGUGAAAAAGUGUUGAUGUUCUUACUGCACAAGCUCCUCUUGUGUCUUUAGUAUCUGAUGGUAUAAAUAUUCACAAUGAUGGUGUCAUCAACUUUGUUCACAAAUCCAAAAUAUUUUACACAUUUCAGUGCACAACUGAGCAUCACCGCACAGCCCAAUAUAUGGUUGACCAGUUUAAACAUAUCGUCAAUAAUUUGGCUCUAUAGAAAGUUGAGUCAUUAUAGACUCCAAGAUGAACAUGGGCCGCCAAUGUGGGGAUGCAGUCAGGAAGGCUAACUGCACCUUGUCCAGAUGCAUCACGAGCAGGUCCUCUGAGAGGUGAUCCUCCCUCUCCUAUAUGACGGUGGUCAGGCCACAGUUGGAGUACUGCGUCCAGUUCUGGGCACCACACUUCAGGAGGAAUGUGGACAACAUCAAGAGGGUCCAGAGGAGGGCCACUCGCAUGAUCGGGGGGCAGCAGGGCAGGCCCUUCAACAAGAGGCUAUGAGACCUGAACCUGUUCAGCCUCCACAAGAGAAGGCUGAGAGGGGAUCUUGUGGCCGUCUGUAAACCGGCCAAGGGAUACCAGCAGGCACUGGGUUCUCCUGAGCACUACUGGGAAUAACAAGGAACAACAACCAUAAGUUGACAGAGUAGAUUCAGGCUAGAUAUCAGAAGGCACUACUUCACAGUCAGGGCAGCUAGGAUCUGGAACCAACUUCCAAGGGAAGUGGUCCUUGCUCCUACCCUGGGAGUGUUUAAAAGGAGGCUAGAUAGACACCUUGCCAGGGUCAUUUGACCCCAGCAUUCUUUCCUGCCCAUGGCAGGGGGUCAGACAUAAUGAUCUGCUCAGGUCCCUUUCAACCCUACCAACUAUGAAAAGAGGCGAGGGGGGAAACUGCUCUGAUAUUGACAUCUGUAGCUGACCAGUGACAUCUUUCCCUGAGUUCCCUUCCAAUCACAGUGCUGUGGGAGACGGAUGUAGAACCAACAUAUAAGGCUGUGUGUGAAGUGAUCUGUUUCGGUACCUUUUGUGAGCUGUCUGUCUGUCUUGAAGCGGCAUCUGAAAGGUUCUGGCUUUGUAGCACUAGUGAGUUUAUUGUUAACAGGUUGUAUACAAUCCUUUCCUACUUAUCCUUGCCUACCAUCCCUAUUGUUAUCCCUUUCAACUUAUUCUUCCCCCAAACUCCUCUUAUUUGUUCUUGUUAGUCUGUCUUUUUUUUUUUUUCCUGCCACAAAAAGAAAUCUGUGUUUUCACUGACUGUCUCAUCACUGCGCAGGAAAGUACAACACACACACACACACACACACACACACACACACACACACACACACACACACACACACACUUUACAGCACACCAAGCAUGAAGCGUGCUGGAAAGGCAGGUGCCAAGUCUUCUGGCAGGGCAGGGAGAGGGGGCAGAGGGAGAUCUUCAAGUCCGUGGCACCCCCCCAAUAUAGAUGCACCCUCUUUCCUGGCAGUCUUUUGCUGCUGGUGGGAGCAGUGUCUUCACCUGCUCCACUAACAUCAGUAAUAACAACCAACACCAGCAUAACAGUCUCUACCCCAGUUUCAGUUCCCAGCGUGAACCUUUCAGUGCCAGAGGAGGAGCUGCAUCUGGAAGCAGAAGCAGAGGAGCUGAAUGCCAUAGCUAAGGAAAUUCUGGGGAAGGAGGGGGAAUCUGAGUUUGUCCUCCACACCCCUCAGAGUUCCCCUAGAGGCAGGUCGCCUUCUCUGGACCGCCGCCAUGUAGGGGCAGCUGGCUUAGUAGUGGUGACGUGUAGGAGGUGCACAUGCACCCCUUGAGAGCACCGGUGCACCCCGUGUCAGGCCGCAUUUCCUGUUUAGGCGAUGGGCAGGGGGGCAGGCAGGAGCGCCGGUGCCCCCUGCCUGCAAGUGCCAGCUGGGAAGCGGAGUUACCAGCAAAAACGACUGCCACUUCCAGAAGUGGCCACAGGACUUUUUGGUGAGUGAGAUCAGCUGCAGAGGGGACCCCCCCCAUGAGUGAGAUCAGUUGUGGGGGACCCUUCCCCCCCAGUUGCUGACUGGUGUUGGGGGGCAUGCCCCCCCUCUGACUUAAGAGGCACCAGUCACCCAUGUGGCUUAGCUCCUCCUGUUGUGCCUCUGCCUGUUGAGGAGGGAGAUAAGGCAGGAUCCCCACCCUCAACCCAGAAGCAGGUAGGUAGUGUAGUAUGGAAUCAUUUUGAGGUGGCAGAUGAUCCUAGGUCUGCUACCUGCCAGCACUGCUGAAAGCAGAUCAGCCAGGGCAAGGAGGUGAAACAUUUUACCACCACAGUGAUGCUGCUGUAUCUCAAGAGGCAGCAUCCCCUUGCCCUUCUUCCUUCUCAGCCUAGCACCAGUGGAAUUGUGCCCAAAAAAGUCCCCUUCCUGCUCCAAAGCCCCUGUCCCCAUGAAGCAGAGGCAAGCCACCCUGGACCAGUGGGGGAAAGGCAGAGACAAAGGGCAGGGGACGUUCCCAAGGUGAGCAAGGUCACCCAGAGCAUUGGGGAGAUGCUUGCUCUGGAUGACCAGCCCUUCUCCUUUGAGUGUCCAGGGUUCAGGCAGCUCAUGGUGCUCGUGGCCCCAUUUUACCAAGUACCUGCAUGCACCAUCUUUAGCAGGCCCAUGGUGCCCUCUCUGUAUGAGGCAUGCAGGGAGUACUUGAGGGAGGAGCUGCACAAGGCAGGGCGUUACAUUUCACCUCGGACAUCUGGAGCAGCCGGGGUGGAGAUUUUACCUACCUCUCCCUUACAGGGCACUGGUGCAACCGGUCAGGGCGUCGGUGGGCUCUCCUUCAACCAGAGGUGAUGCACGAGUCCCACAUGGCAAGGGAGAUCAUGGUGGCCAUGAACCGCAUGGUGAAGGAGUGGUUCGUUGGGUAGGGCAAGCUCACCUGUGGGUUCAUGGUCACUGAUGAUGGGGCCAAUAUGGUGAAGGUGGUGCGUGGUACCAACUUGUGUUGGCAUCCGCUAUGUGGCAUACAAGUUUAACCUCAUAGUUAGGGAUGCCUGGGGGGGGUGGGGCAGAGGUCCUGGUGAUGGUGCCAUCACUACCACUACCAGCCAUCUCACUUAAAAAUGUAGGAAGGUGGUGGGCUACUUUCACCAGAGCAUCAAGGAGGGGCAAGAUGUUGUGGGACAAACAGGAAGAGCUAGGCAUCCCACAGCACAAAAUCAUGCAGGAUGUGGAGACUUGGUGGAACGCUACAUACUUGAUGUUCGAAAGGUUAUUGCUCGGGGAGACUGGGAUCAGCAGCCCCAUUAACAAAACUGAGUGGGAUACCAUCUCCCAGACUUUGGUGGUCCUCAAGCCUAGCAUAGCCUCAGUGCUGACAAUGCCCUCCUUAGCCAGGUGAUCCCCAUAGUAGGGGAUGUGUUGGCAUGUUUUACAUUUCUUGUCAUGACAUGGUCUGGAUCCAUUCAAUGUGUUUUGGGCUGUAGGAAGUUUGCUUCUGGUGAUGAGGUUACAAGCCUACAAACUUCGCUUCAUAAAUCCACUGGAUAUAAAACAAUCAUAGAUUCAGUAUAGACAUUGGAUUUAUGACACGCUAUAACCUGCCCGACAUCUGACUCCCCAGGUACCUUUCCACUUUUACCUGCUAAAUCUCGCCCCCUGAUGCCUCAAUUUACAUUUUCACUGACUGGCUUUCUUGCAUGCGUACUGGUCUCUGGCUUCUUUACUAUUCAUUCCAUCCAGGAAGAGCACACACCAACUGCAGAAGCUUCCUCAGCCUGAUUGAAGGGUUUUUAAACCUGAAAGCUUGCUAAGAUAUAUUUCUCCAACAGUUCAGUUGGUCUAAUAAAAUAUAUCAGAUUGACCCAAAGAACCUUGUCUGCCUAUGUCUUUAGACCAACAUGGCUACAACCUAUACCCUCUAACGCACAAAAGUAAUAUGAGGGUUUUUUUCAACAGUUUGAGGUGCACUUUCAAGGAGAUAAGUGCAGGGGUUUCUGUGAACCUUGGCAGGCUUCAUGUCCUCAGAAGGGGAUACCAAUGUGAAUUCCUUGUGUGGAGGAGGGAAAAGGAACAGAGUAUCUAGCAGUGUGUGCCACAGAAUGAAUCAAAGCUGGGCUCAAGACAGUAGGGGAAAAAAAGGAAAAACAUUUGGUGUGGAGCAUAGACUAGUUUUGAUUUCAGCACCUGGAAACUGGAUGAAAAAACUGGUAUGGCUUCAGUUCACAAAAAAAGACCCUGUUUGGAAAUAUUUUCAAGAAAUUCUUGUCCCACUGGGAAAAAGAGGAACAUAUACCAAAUGUUAACAGCAUAAGAGAUGCAAGACGGUACCCUGAAUGGAGCAAUGUUAUAAAAAGUGUUUCCCAGAAAGCAGUGAACUUGAAGAUGGUGAUGUGGCCGUGUCUGAGCCAUCUGGAUCAACUGGGUCCAGCUUAACCAUAAGACAUUAUGAACGUUGAUCAUUUGCAAUGUUUGCAACUUCAGAAUCAUCUAUGGUAACACCAACAGUACUGCAACUAAACAUCUCAGACAGUGAAUUACCUUAUCCAAAAAGAGACUGUCUUCAUUAUCAAGUAAAACUAUUGAUGAGUUUAUAAUCGGGACCAACAAAGUCCAGUAAGACAGCAUAGAUUAACAUAUUGCUCAGUUUCAUUAGUUUCAUAGUUGGUAGGGUCGGAAGGGACCUGAGCAGAUCAAGUCCAACCCCCUGCCAUGUCGGGAAAGAGUACUGGGGUCAAACUACCCCAGCAAGGUGUUCAUGUAUCCUCCUCUUAAAGACCCCCAGGGUAGGAGCCAGCACCACUUCUCCUGGAAGUUGGUUCCAGAUCCUAGCCGCCCUGACAGUGAAGUAGCGCCUCCUGAUGUCUAGUCUAAAUCUACCGUCUGCCAGCUUGUGACUGUUAUUUCUAGUCACUCCUGGUAGUGCUUGGGGGAACAGGGACUCCCCCAAUACCUGCUGGUCCCUCCCCGACUAGCUUGUAGACAGCCACUAGAUAUCCCCCCUCAGCCUUCUCUUGUGGAGGCUGAACAGGUUCAGGUCCCUUAGCCUCUCCUCGUAGGGCCUGCCCUGCUGCCCCCUGAUCAUGCGAGUGGCCCUCCUCUGGACCCUCUCCAUGUUGUCCUUAUCCCUCCUGAAGUAUGGCGCCCAGAACUGGAUGCACUACUGCAACUGCGGCCUGACCAGUGUCGCAUAGUGGGGGAGGAUCACUUCCUUGGACCUGCUUGAGAUGCAUCUGUGGAUGCAUGACAAGGUAUGGUUGGCCUUCCUGACCGUGUCCCCAUACUGUCGGCCCAUGUUCAUUUUGGCAUCAAUAAUGACUCCCAAGAUCCUUUUCUGCCUCUGCACUGCCAAGAAGGGAGUUCCCCAGCCUGUAGUUCAUUUAUGCAACAGUCUCGCCUUUUUAUCUUGUUCAGAACAAACAUUUCAAUGAUGUGGUUCAGUCAUUAUGACCAGGUUACGCUCCAUGCAGCAGAAUGGAUAUCAUUGAAAUGCUUCUGGAUACUGUGAGAGAAGGAAAUUCAACAGUAUACAAAAAACAUUGAAGGGAAAAAUUAAUUUGAGUUUUGAUGGAUGGUGCAGUUUACACAGUGAUCCAAAAAUAUAUGCUUGUGACACAAAAGAUGGGAUUGUUUAUCUCUUGGAAACAAUAGAUGCAUCAGGACAUGUCCAUACUGACGAAAAUUUAAAAGAAGUAGCAAUAAACCUUAUAACAAACCGGAUGUGUGGCCUUGUCACGGACAAUGCUGCAAAUGUAGAAAAGAUGAGAAGAAACUUAGAAGAAGAUGAUGAAGAUAAACCUGAAAGUUAUAACACAUGGGUGCAAUGUUCAUUUGAUACAUGUUUUAGCCAAAGAUGUACUUAAGUACUGCAGAAAUAAAGCAAACAUUUAAAUUUGCAAAAUACUCCUGUUACAGCCAGUUUGCUUCAGCUUCACUGAGAAGAGCUGGAGGAUUCAAGCUGAUUCUCCCUCAAGAUGCAUUUUGGAAUUUAGUGGUUGACUGCUUUGAGGUAUUUGUCAAGACCUGGUCUAUUCUGAUGACCACAUUUGAAAAAAAGUGAUGAAAUUGAGGGAAGUAUCACAGAUAGAAUAGUUAACAUUGGACUGAAGAGAAAUGUAGAAGGUAUGCUGAAUACACUGAAACCUACUUCCAUAGCCUUGGAUAAGCUACAGAAAGAUUGCUGCUAUAUCGCACAUGCUGUUGAAAUUUGAAAAGAACUUCAAGAAACAAAGCAAGAAAUACCCAACAGCAAAGAUGAAUUUCAGGCAGUAAAGCAGCAGAUGGAUCAGGCAUCUAUUCUACCUCAUUUUCUUGCCAAUAGUCUUGACACAAAGUACCACAUAGAUGCCUAACUGCCAAACAGGAAAAUUCUGCUAUGACCAAACAGGAAAAUUCUGCUAUGACAUAAGCAUCUGUUAAUAAUCUAUCAGUCAUGGCAAUCAUAAUCUUCAGAGCUAGAGAUGAACCAUAAAGCUGUACGUUUUCUAAGGAUGCUAUAUAAAAAAAAGUCACACCACUGAACUGGUGGUGGUCAUUAGCAAAGCACCUGGAAUCAGCGAUUAUUGUAUUUCUAAAUCUGGUUUUACCAGCAAUAGCCUUUUCUGCAGGUGCAGAAAAGAAUAUUUUCUUCAUUUGGACCAGUUCAUUAAAAAGCUGAGAAAUUGAUUGGGAGUCAUAAAAGUAGAAAAGCUUGUUUUCCUCUUCCAGUCCCUGAAUAAAAAAGGGAAGAAGGAUGAGAUUUAUGAGUUCUAAAAAUUUGAAAGGGAGUAAAAAAAUUUAAAAUAGCUUCGGUAAAAAAAAAAAAGUCCUAAUUUAAAGAUAAAGCAGGAACUUAAGCUCAAAUAACUACAUCUGGUAUGACAGGGAGCAUGCUCGGAGCUGAGUCUCAAGCCAGCACUCCCACCUGUCUAUGGGGCAGUCUGCCCAGUUUCAUCUGCCACGACUUUGCUCUUACAAUGAUCUGGUGGUAAAUAUAGGAGGCUGCCCAUUACAUGCCCCAAUGCCAGGAGGGUGUUAUCCACAGUUCCAUACCAUCCCUACACCGUGGCCUGUGCCUUGUAGAUGGCAUUUAUACAUUCUUAAUGGCUCCAACUCAAGGCCAGACUUAAAAUCACCUACAGUUAAGUUUCUUUCAGUCUGCCCAGUUAUGGGCCUCAUGCAUACAGCCCCCCUCCCCCCCCCCUCACAGGGGCCUCUUGCACUCCCCCUGCUCUCACCAGGGUCUCUGUCAUACUGCCCCACUUGGGCCACACACACUCCCUUCCCUUGCUCCCUAAGCAACCCCGUAGGGCCAUCAGGUUUAAUCCCCUGCUCUCCUCGCCCAGCAGGCACACAGCCCUUUGGGCCUCUUUCAUGCCCUCAUCUGAAUGGAUGCUGGGCAAUUCGCAGAACUGAGGCUGACACCUCCUUUUGGACCACUUCUCCACCCCUGUCACUUUGGGGCCUCAUUCUCUGCCCUCUCUCUGGGGCCUUCAUUUCCCGCCCCCUCACCGGUGCCAGGGCUCUCUGUGAUCUUCCAUCCUCACCGGCCCGGUAGACUCAGGUGCCUGCCUAGGCAUGCCUAGUUAACCAGUUCUGACUAAAAACCCACCAGAUGGUGAAGGCUAGGGUUUAGGCACCCUUCCCUGCCUUUUACUUGGGAGGCAACUGGCCUGGCACUUCUUGGGGACUCCUGCAUCACCAGGAGCCCCACCAGGCCAUCCUGCCCCAACAGGGUGCAGUUUAGGUCAUACCCAGGACUACUGAGGCCACCUCCUCCCCCAUAGCCUCUCCUUUACCUCCAAGUUGUUCCCACCCAUGGAGCUCAGCAGGGAGAUGUUCUUGCCCUGCUGGCUGGUCUCAAAAUGGCCCCUUUCAGCCCAGAAAGCUGGGCAUUAAAUGGCCACCCUAAUCAGGCACUUGCCCUCUUCCUGGCCUAGCCUUUAAAAUGUAGGCACCAAAGGUGCUCUGUUGCAUCUUGGCAUUUUAGAAAAUUUUCCCCAGGGUGAACUAAUUGGUUUAAUUUACUAACCACUGUUCAUGUUUCUACUACUAUGUAUCCGUUAAUACUAGUGUUUUAAAAAAUAGUUGUAAACAUGCACCUUGUUUUAAUAAAGAAAAAAAGUUUCUAUAUCCAAAACAUUAAAGUUUGGUUUGUUUUUUUAAUAAACUUGAAGUUCUGGUUUUGUGGGCUUAAAUUCAAGUUGACAUCUUAAUGCAGCUUGAUACAGAUUUGAGCAAAAAGUUAAUUAUUUAGUGAAUAAAUAUAUAUUUCACCAUUUCUUAAUACAUUAAAGUGUAAAAUUUCUAACAAUCCAAAUAUAUUAAGCGAUAAAUUGUGUGUGUAGUUUGGGAACCUAGGAAUGUAUGUACUAAAUCCAGCAGUUGUAAAUCAAAUGGUUUAAUUAUUAUCCCAUCAACUAAUGAAAAUACACCUUUCUUUAAAAUGUACACGUGUAUGUGUGCACAAAUAAAAUAAUUGAUGAAAAUCAAUAAUUUAAAUUGGGCUUUUGACAGGGUGGAUACAAAUCAACAAUUUCUUUUAAAUAAAAAUUGGAUUUCUUAAUUUUUUUUAUUUAAUCAUUUAUUUUAGUUGAUAAGAUUUAAAAAAAAAAAAAAGUAUAUAAAAUAGUUUUAAUUUAAGAUAUGUUAAAACUCAAAGACACCAUCACGGAAUAGGGCUUAUAACUUCUAAUGAUAUACUAUUUACAACAAUAUAUUCAUGUAGCCGUAGAAACAUUUUAUAUAUAGGUCACAACAGGCCAUGGACUAAGGGGUCCAAUCUUGUGCGGUUCCCAGAGGCUUCUCUAUAGAUUAGUAAAGACUAACAAAAACCAGUCUAUCCAAUGGGGCUCAGUGCUCAGUCUAGAAGAUCCCAUUAAGCAUCUCUGUGAUGCUUAGUUUUAGUUCUCAAACUGGAUUUGUGUCUUUGAAGGUAAAAUCCUUGUUAACAGCAAUAUAUGGAGAUGAGCAAUAACAGACCUGAUUUACCUACCUAUUGGCCCUGUUGUCUCUCUGCAAGCUUGUGUACAUAGAAUCAAGCCCUUACCUCUCUUUCUAAAAAAUGCAAAAUGUCAAGAAGUUAAAUGAAUACGGGAUUGUUGGGUGUGGAGUAGAUCUGGGCAAGGAGGAAGAGUCUGGAGAUAAAUGCAAGGAGGGCAGAACACUAGAUACAAAAAGAAGCUUUUUUGACCAGAAUAUUCUAAAAGUUGAGGGAUAAUUUUCCUUUCCAUUGAGUAUAGCCUCUUCAUUGAUUUGAAAUCUAGUGAGGGAAUGGUUUGGUAGAAAGAAAAACCCAGCCUGGCAAGCCUGCUGCUCUGAUAUAAGAGAGACCCUGUUUGGGGUCUACCUGUGGGUAAGACACUGUCUGCAUUUUGCAUGCAUGCCUAUAUAAAAGGGUGGCCUCCUCAUCAGGUCUUCGCUGGCUGCCCUGCUCCUGGGGUAACUGCCUGCUUCUCGUCUGCCACGCUUUGAUGGAAAAAUAUGAGAGUUGUUACUAAGGUGGGAGGCUACCCAUUUUUUGCCCUGCUGUGACUGCCCCUCCACGGGUCCGAUGCGUUGCAGAUGUUUCUCUGACGUUACUUCUCUGGCCUGUGGCUGAAGCAAACUAGGCACACAAUUGUAGUUCUUUUCUACAGCCCUGGAGAGCCACUCUCACACUACCCCUCUCUCAGCAGGGUACCACUCACUCUGCUGGCUCUUACCCAGUGUCUUUCAUACUGCCCUCAGAAGCCACACUCAUGCUGCCCAGUCUCAGGCCUAGCUCUCCUCUCCACAGUCAGCCCAGCGCAGUCUGUAUCUCCCACUCAUCUCCCGCUUCCCUCAUCUAAGCGAUUGUAGGCCUGUUUAGCUCCUAGUCCCUCGCUGGGCCACUAUGUCCCCACUGGGCCUCCUCACUCGCCCAGACUUACAGGCUGCUCUGUUUGUCACCCCUCUCACACAGGGUCUCUCUACUUGUUGCCCCCAGGCUUUUCUCUGCCACCUGGGUGUGGCCCCAGGUCCCUCCUCUGGUCUGAGCUCUGCGUCAGGGCUCUUUAACUGAUCCCUGGGAUACCCCUGCUCACUAGAACACCACCAGGGAGGUGGGGCUGGGGUUAAGUUGCCCCGAUCUGCCUUUCACUGGGAAAAUAACUGGCCUGGCAUUUCCUGGGGGCUCCCACGCCACUAGGAGCCCCACCAGACCACCCCUCCCCAGCAGGGUGCGGUUUUACGUCUUACCGAGGACAAGGGAUCGCCUCGUCCCAUAACACCUGCCCUCCUGACUCUGGCCAGAGCAGCCUCUCAGCCUGAUGUUUCUUCCUUCCUUCUUGCAGCAAACUGCAGCCCAGCUUAUAUUCCAGGGCCAAAAUGGCUGCCCUCGGGCACCUGGCUGCUGCCUGUUUGCUUCUCUUAAAGUGACAGGCACCACACAUGCCCUACCACACAGUGCAACAAAGAAAUAGAAGGCCUAGUUGCCCAAAUGAAACAUCAUCAUGAGAAUUGCUCCUUCCCAGGAGAAAGCUGCUUUGAAGAUGAUGAAUGGAACAUGUCUGAACAUGCAGGAUCUCCAGGUUAGUAAACAUUCUUAUUUCAUACUUCUUUAAGGUCUGCUUGUCUUCCCUGUCCAUAUCUUUUGGAUGGACUACUUGAAUUCUCAUAAAAUAUUUGAGCAAAAACAUACUUGUUACUUUAUGGAACUAUCAUAUUUUAAUGCAGCUGUGAUGUAAAAUAAUGGCUGCAAUAGGCAGAUCUUUUAACAGUUUCAUUUCUAAAGUAGUAAUACUAAAUGACCAAUACUGUAAUGACUGCAUUGGCUUCUUUUGUUCAGGAGGAUCCACGCUCAUCAUACAGGAUUCUGACUAUCCAUCUUCAACAUCAUCACUGUCUACAUUUUCACAGUUAACUGCUAAUGGUACCAGUGUUCCAGUCAAAUGUAUGUCAUAUAGUAUAUCACCUGUAGCAAAAAGAAAAAACAAAAAACAAACAAACAAUCUCCAUCAUCCAGAAACAACCAUAGAAAAGUUUGUAAUAGGAACGAGCAGAUUACAGCAAGAAGUAAUUGAUGAAAAAAACUGCUCAGUUUGUUUAUGCAAUACACAACCGUUCCAUAUGGUUGAGAACACACACUUCAUUGACAUGGUUUGAUCAUUACGACCAGGAUACAGUCCACUCAGAGCAGAUAUAACAGGUGAAUUGCUGGAUAAAGUGUAUGAGAGAGAAAGUGAACAGUGUGUAAACAAUCUAGAGGGGAAAAUUGUUAGCCUGAGUCUUGAUGGGUGGAGUAGUGUCCACAAUAUUCCAGUAGUAUGUGCUUGCUUGACAACAGAAGAAGGGACUGUCUACCUUACAGAAACAAUUGAUACAUCCGGAAAUGCACACACAGCAGAACACUUACCAGAAGUAGCAGUAAAAGCUAUAAGAAACUGAAAAAUUAAAUGCUGCAAAUGUAUCAAAGAUGAGUAGAAAUCUAGAAGAAAGUGAAGAAAACCCCAAGCUAAUACCUUUAUGGCUGCAGUGCUCAUUUGAUGCACCUGUUAGCCAAAGACUUCAGUACUCCAGAAAUAAGAGGCUGAUGCUGUAAAAUAUUUCUAUAACAAUGACUCUGCAGCAGCUGCUCUGAAGAAAGCAGGAAGAACCAAACUAACUCUCACUUAAGGCGUGUGAUAGAACUUGGUAGUGGACUGUUCUGAGCGAUAUAUUGAAAACUGGCCUAAUCUGAUGACAAUUUGUGAACAAAAUCGUGAGAAAAUAGAUUUAACUGUCAUAGCCCAAUGUCGAGAACUUUGGCUAAAGAGAAAAUGCAGAACAUAUACUGAAAUUCUGAAGCCUAUUUCCGUAGUCUUGAAGAAAGUACAGGGAAAUUGCUGUUUUCCUGCUGGUGCUAUUGAAAUGUGUGGCAGCCGAGGGCAGUCUAAGGCUAUGGCCAGUAGCCCGGACCGUCAGGUGGGUAUUUUCCACGAUGGAAUAGAGUUAGGCACGGAAGCGUAUUGGUUGUAUAAAGAUAGCUUUACUUACACUGCCGAUGGUCGCAGUGCAGGAAGAAAACUUGCUUGAAUUACAGUUGCACACAAACACGGGUGAGAUCUCUCUUGGAACCGAACCGAGAUGAGUCAUCGGUGUACGACUCCACGAGCACUCAACACGGGGGUACGUCAAUAUUUCCACGAUGACGGGGAGUGGUUAGAGGCUGAUCAGGCCCCUAAAUUCUCCUCCAAGACACGCACGGAGUUUGCUAGGCUCCACAGCGCGCUUAGAGUUCCCCACGAGAUGGUUGUGGAGUCCUCCAACUUGGGCGGAAACUGCUCUAACCUUUUAUACGGGUAGCAAACCAAUUGCUAGCCGCCAAGUAGGAAUAAUUUAGAAUUGACAAAAUUGCAUACGUGUGGCAGGAACUCUUUUGCACCGGGGUUUUCUCUCUGCAGCUGAGAAAUCCACCGUGCAAAGAAAGCUCCAUGUGGCGGGAAAAUUCCACUGUGCCGAGGCACUAAAAAUCAUUGGGUUAUGACAAUAUGGAAGGAACCGAGUGAGACCUUGAUGUGGGGAAGCAAUGACAGAGUUAAAUUACAGGCAUUAAAAAAAAAAAAAAACAAACAAAAAAAAACACCACACGUGAAUGGAUCAAGCACUAUCUCUUGCCAGUAUUCUCAAUGCUAGGUACUAGGGUCAUUGUUUAACUGAUGAAGAAAAGGAAUUGGCUAUGACAUGGGCAUCCAGCAAUCAUUCCUCCAUAGUAUCAACUAUAAUUUCAGAGCUAAGGGUGAACCAUUCAUGAUGAAACAAGAAAUAUGUUUGCUGAUGAGGUUUUAAAGAAAGUCACACAAGUGAACUGGUCGCAGUCACUGAAACACCUGGAUCCAUCAGAGACAAUUGAAGUGAUAAUCCAGCUUUUUAACAGCAGUAGCUUCUUCUUUAGGUGUAGAAAGAAUAUUUUCUUCCUUUGGACUAAUUCAUUCUAAAUUAAGAAACUGCUUGGGAACUGAAAAUUUUCCAGUCUGUGAAUAAACAGGAAGGGGAAUGUGAAGACUGAAUUUGCUGCAUAACCCAGUAUUUUACAUUUCUUAUGUUGACUUGGCUGAAAUAAUCCAUUAUAUUUUUGUUAAAAACACAUUUAUAAGUAAAAUAGUUUAAAAUUCAAAAAUACUUACGCUUGUUUUGUUAAAUUAUAUGUUUGUUGUUGAAGAAAAAUAUCCAAAAUACGCAAGUUUGUUGUUGUAGUUAAAUAAAGCUAUUUUAAGUGUCUGUUGUUUUUGGUGACAGUUGUUGUCCUCCUAAUACAGCGUGGCAAAAAUAUCCCGCAAAUAUCUAUGAUUAAUCUAGUGCCUUGGAGAUGGUUCACCUCCCGAUGACUUCACAAGUACUUGCUUCAAUUAGCUUUGGUAAAUAAAAUAACCAAAUCAUGAAUCGGUUUUCUGAUGUGGCUAUUAAGUUAAUCUGAAAAAAUUUAUCAAAAUAAGUCACUGUUUUAAAAUGUAUAGUGUGUACCUUUUAAAAAUGAAACCUACAUCCAUAUCUGAGUUAUGAAUAAUACGUAUUAAGGUUUUAUCAAACAACAGGAAUGCACUUUGUGUAGAAAAAGGUGAUUAAAUCAAGCCUUCCUGACCAAUGAUUUAAAUCAAAGCCAAUCUGGCUUUUGGUUUGCUGAUUUUAAACUCUGCAAUUUUCUCAUCACCAGGGAUCCAGGUUUUCCGUUUCCCAUGGAAAAAUGGAGAAAACCACAGAUUCCCUGUUUUUUUAAAAAAAAAAAAAAAAAAAAAAAAAAAAAUCGGGGAAUUCUGCAUUUUCUCCUUUUAGCAGAGAAAUCCACGGGUUCUCCACCCUUGCAAAGAGCUCUUGCAGGCUGGCACAGUUCCAAUCUGCAAGAGCUGAUUGGAGAAGGGGUGGGAAAUCCCUAGCCCUGCCCAGAGGGGGAAGGAAAAGGGGAAGGAUGUAAUAUUUUUUCAGUAUCGCUUAGCACAGAACUCAAAUACAACCACACUGAGUAAGUUAUUAUUGUACAUUAUGGACAUUGUCUAUUAAAUCUUUCAUAGAUCUUCAAAGAUGCAAUAAAAUACUUCAGUUAAUUGCUGUAGAAAGAGUAGUUGGGUGUGGCCUCCAAAUAAUUUGCUACAGACAUUCUUGAUGAUAAUGCUUUUUAUCUGAGAAAUUCAAAAUUUAACUUCCUGCUUAAGCCUGUUGAUCAGUUCAUUCAGAAUAUGGAAAAUGAUACAUCAACAUUGUCUGAUGCUAAGAAUGAGUUCCUGGUUAUUUAAGAAGCAUAUUUGCAAGAAUACUGAACAAAAUGCGCUUAAACUGAAAAAAAAAAAAAAAUAGAAUUAUAUCAUGGGAAAUUAAGCCUUAUAGUGCUUGCUUCAAAUUUUAAAGAUUAUAAAAACAAUUCUGGUGAAGAUAGCAAAUUAUAAAAGCAAGAAGCUAUCCAUUCAGUCCAGGGGUGGGCAAAAUGCGGCCUGCCAGGCCAUUCUAUCCAGCCUGUGGGGCCCCUAAACUAAUUUAGAAAAAAUUUAUAUUAAUCUGCUUCUGGCUGCCUGUCAUGCGGCCCUCCGAUGGCUUGCCAAAACUCAGUAAGUGGCCCUCCACCCAAAAUAAUUGCCCACCCCUAAUUCAGUUGUAAACAAUGUGGUGUGCAAUCCCAGCAAUUUCAUUUAAGCAGCUCUCUUCUUUCAUUAUAGUGGAGAGGGAUGUGUCUUUGUAAUCUAACUACAGCGGCAGAAAUACUUAUCGUGAUUCCUUGUACUACUGUGUGUUCAGAACAAAAUUGAUCGGUUUGGGGAAACAUCUCUUUAAAAUCCAAAAAUAAACUGAAGACUUCCACUGCUGGGAAGUUGGUGACCAUAUAUAUCACAAUGGAAGAUGAAGGGUUGAGUCAGUAUUCAGAUGAAGGGGAAGAAGGAGAUGAUAAUGUGUACACAUAAAGCAAUUGAAGCUGAUGAAGUUAAAAAAAAAAAAAAAAAAAAGUAAAA
Long non-coding RNA from Alligator mississippiensis (American alligator), 16437 nucleotides. RefSeq lists it as uncharacterized. The record is from RefSeq and is a predicted model, not a curated record. The transcript has 2 exons. NCBI's taxonomy places the organism in Eukaryota, Metazoa, Chordata, Crocodylia, Alligatoridae.